GGGGCUAUAGCUCAGCAGGUAGAGCACCUGCCUUGCACGCAGGAAGUCGGCGGUUCGAUUCCGCCUGGCUCCACCA
Molecule: transfer RNA, 76 nt
Filed under: Candidatus Tachikawaea gelatinosa
Lineage: Bacteria; Pseudomonadati; Pseudomonadota; Gammaproteobacteria; Enterobacterales; Enterobacteriaceae
Description: tRNA-Ala
Rfam family: tRNA
About the family: Transfer RNA (tRNA) molecules are approximately 80 nucleotides in length.
Source: RNAcentral